AAUGAACGCUGGCGGCAUGCCUAACACAUGCAAGUCGAACGAGACCUUCGGGUCUAGUGGCGCACGGGUGCGUAACGCGUGGGAAUCUACCCUUGGGUUCGGAAUAACUCAGAGAAAUUUGAGCUAAUACCGGAUGAUGACGUAAGUCCAAAGAUUUAUCGCCCAAGGAUGAGCCCGCGUAGGAUUAGCUUGUUGGUGAGGUAAAAGCUCACCAAGGCGACGAUCCUUAGCUGGUCUGAGAGGAUGAUCAGCCACACUGGGACUGAGACACGGCCCAGACUCCUACGGGAGGCAGCAGUGGGGAAUAUUGGACAAUGGGCGAAAGCCUGAUCCAGCGAUGCCGCGUGAGUGAUGAAGGCCUUAGGGUUGUAAAGCUCUUUUACCCGGGAAGAUAAUGACUGUACCGGGAGAAUAAGCCCCGGCUAACUCCGUGCCAGCCGCCGCUGUAAGAC
This 452-nucleotide ribosomal RNA is filed under the name uncultured bacterium. RNAcentral's name for it is "bacterial SSU rRNA". It matches the Rfam family "Bacterial small subunit ribosomal RNA", at positions 29 to 526 of the family's 1533-position model. The record is from RNAcentral.